RNAcentral lists this transfer RNA (64 nucleotides) under Cavia porcellus (domestic guinea pig). It matches the Rfam family "tRNA". Rfam says of the family: Transfer RNA (tRNA) molecules are approximately 80 nucleotides in length. Their secondary structure includes four short double-helical elements and three loops (D, anti-codon, and T loops). The record is from Rfam by way of RNAcentral. Lineage: Eukaryota; Metazoa; Chordata; Mammalia; Rodentia; Caviidae.
GGGGAUUUAGCUCAGUGGCAUAAGCACCUGCCUUGCAAGCAGGCGGUCGGGAGUUCAAUCCCUG